CAUUGGCCUGGUGGUCCCAGAGUUAUCCUGGCAGCCAGUGGGGAAGACAAGGAGGGUUUGAGCAUGGCAGAAGGAGACACCCUGAGAGUAGUGGAUUACAAUAUUUUUGGGAAGGUGCAAGGGGUGUUUUUCCAUAAGCAUACUCAGGCUGAGGGUAAAAGGCUGGGAUUGGUAGGCUGGGUCCAGAACACUGACCGGAGCACAGUGCAAGGACAAUUGCAAGGUCCCAUCUUCAAGGAGCGUCAUAUGCAGGAAUGGCUUGAAACAAAGGGAAGUCCCAAAUCACACAUCGACAAAGCCAACUUCAACAAUGAGAAAGUCAUCUUAAAGUUGGAUUACUCAGACUUCCAAAUUGUAAAAUAAUGGCCUGAAUUUAAGUUUUCUAAGAUAAACUCAGUGGUUUGGUUUUUAUUGUUAAUAGAGAUAGAACUAUUGUGUGUUAAUAUUAGCAUUAGUCAAUAAGUUAUUUUAGUGUCAGUUAUUUGAAUGUUAUUAUAUAUUACCUAUAUGAUGGAAGGAUUACAAUUAUACACAAAUCUAAUCAAUAAAAACAUUAGAACCU
Molecule: RNA transcript, 562 nt
Organism: Cercocebus atys (sooty mangabey)
Lineage: Eukaryota; Metazoa; Chordata; Mammalia; Primates; Cercopithecidae
Gene name: acylphosphatase-1 pseudogene
Exons: 1
Source: RefSeq, a predicted model, not a curated record